RNAcentral lists this ribosomal RNA (583 nucleotides) under Nemania sp. Its description in RNAcentral is "partial large subunit ribosomal RNA". It matches the Rfam family "Eukaryotic large subunit ribosomal RNA", at positions 329 to 933 of the family's 3401-position model. The record is from RNAcentral. Lineage: Eukaryota; Fungi; Ascomycota; Sordariomycetes; Xylariales; Xylariaceae.
AGAGACCGAUAGCGCACAAGUAGAGUGAUCGAAAGAUGAAAAGCACUUUGAAAAGAGGGUUAAAUAGCACGUGAAAUUGUUGAAAGGGAAGCGUUUGCGACCAGACCUUUUCCUAGCGGAUCAUCCGGUGUUCUUCGCCGGUGCACUUCGCUAGGUCGAGGCCAGCAUCGGUUUCUGCAGGGGGAUAAAAGCCCAGGGAACGUAGCUCUUUCGGGAGUGUUAUAGCCCUCCGCAUAAUACCCUUGCGGGGACCGAGGACCGCGCUUUUUGCAAGGAUGCUGGCGUAAUGGUCGUCAACGACCCGUCUUGAAACACGGACCAAGGAGUCGAACAUUUAUGCGAGUGUUUGGGUGUUAAACCCUCACGCGUAAUGAAAGUGAACGGAGGUGAGAGCCCUUACGGGUGCAUCAUCGACCGAUCCUGAUGUCUUCGGAUGGAUUUGAGUAAGAGCAUAACUGUUCGGACCCGAAAGAUGGUGAACUAUGCGUGGAUAGGGUGAAGCCAGAGGAAACUCUGGUGGAGGCUCGCAGCGGUUCUGACGUGCAAAUCGAUCGUCAAAUCUGCGCAUGGGGGCGAAAGACUA